RNAcentral lists this ribosomal RNA (404 nucleotides) under uncultured bacterium. Its description in RNAcentral is "bacterial SSU rRNA". It matches the Rfam family "Bacterial small subunit ribosomal RNA", at positions 355 to 776 of the family's 1533-position model. The record is from RNAcentral.
UGGGGGAUAUUGCACAAUGGGCGCAAGCCUGAUGCAGCGACGCCGCGUGAGCGAAGAAGUAUUUCGGUAUGUAAAGCUCUAUCAGCAGGAAAGAAAAUGACGGUACCUGACUAAGAAGCUCCGGCUAAAUACGUGCCAGCAGCCGCGGUAAUACGUAUGGAGCAAGCGUUAUCCGGAUUUACUGGGUGUAAAGGGAGCGUAGGCGGCUCUGUAAGUCUGAUGUGAAAAUUUGGGGCUCAACCCCAAACGUGCAUUGGAAACUGCAGGGCUUGAGUGCCGGAGAGGCAGGCGGAAUUCCUAGUGUAGCGGUGAAAUGCGUAGAUAUUAGGAGGAACACCAGUGGCGAAGGCGGCCUGCUGGACGGUAACUGACGCUGAGGCUCGAAAGCGUGGGGAGCAAACAGG